AAAUAUAAAGGGAAUUAUGAAAUGUAGUCUGUACUUGGGCGCUUGGACUACAGGGAGUUAGUAGCGCAACCCACCUUUAUCUUA
RNAcentral lists this non-coding RNA (84 nucleotides) under Clostridium sulfidigenes. RNAcentral's name for it is "c-di-GMP-II sequence". It matches the Rfam family "Cyclic di-GMP-II riboswitch aptamer". Lineage: Bacteria; Bacillati; Bacillota; Clostridia; Eubacteriales; Clostridiaceae. The record is from Rfam by way of RNAcentral.